Molecule: long non-coding RNA, 5282 nt
Organism: Oncorhynchus masou masou (cherry salmon)
Lineage: Eukaryota; Metazoa; Chordata; Actinopteri; Salmoniformes; Salmonidae
Exons: 3
Source: RefSeq, a predicted model, not a curated record
AAUCGCACUAGCUACAUAUAUUUAGCUGAAAAUACUUGAUGAAAUUGAAUGUUUCUUUGUAGCUAGCUAUCUAGCUUGGUUGUAGGCUGUAGGUUACAGUAGGCAAGUACAGUAACAUUGCAGUAGCUAGCUAACGUUACACCUUUACUGAAUGACAACAAUAUAGCGUAAACACUUGCUAGUUGGGCAUAGAAAUUGACAAAUGAACAUAUGGAGCGAUCACACAUACAUGCAGGUGUGGUGGUGUCACUUUUUAUUUUUUAGCUAUAUACCAGCUUUAUGUAGUGAAAAUACUCCAGCCUUUGGUGCUCCGGAGUGGCGUAGUGGUCUAACACCGAACCCAAGCCGGCUGCGCGCGUGCGCUAUCGUGCAUACAUGUAUUUUGUAGACCCACACCAAACGCGAUCACGACAUGCAGGUUAAAAUAUCAAAACAAACUCUCAACCAAUUAGCUUAAUUUGGGUACAGGUUGAAAAGCAUUAAACAUGUAUGCCAAUUUAGCUAGUUAGCUUGCACUUGCUAGCUAAUUUGUCCUAUUUAGCUAGCUUGCUGUUGCUAGCUCAUUUGUCCUGGGAUAUAAUCAUUGAGUUGUUAUUUUACCUGAAAUGCACAAGGUCCUCUACUCCGACAAUUAAACCACACAUAAAACGGUCAGCCAAAUCAUUUCUAGUCAUCUCGCCUCCUUCCAGGCUUUUUCAUAUUUGAACUUAUAUGGUGAUUGGCAUCUAAAAUUUCAUAGUAUUACUACACCGACCGGCAACACAUUUCGUCUUUCAAUCACCCACAUGGGUAUAACCAAUGAGGAGAUGGCACGUGGGUACCUGCUUCUAUAAACCAAUGAGGAGAUGGGAGAGGCAGGACUUGCAGCGCGAUCUGCGUCAGAAAUAGAAAGGACUUCUAUUUUACCCCGUGGCAUCGCAGACACUCGUUUGCGCGCGAGCAGUGUGGGUGCAUUAAUUGAAUAACAUGGAUUUCUAAAUUUAUUUUGCAACGCUCGCGCACGUGACGUAUCCGGUCUGGUCAGCAUUUAAGGCACUGCAUCUCAGUGCUAGACGCCUCACUACAGACACCCUGGUUCGAAUCCAGCUGUAUCACAACUGGCCGUGAUUGGGAGUCCCAUAGGGCAGCGCAGAAUUGGGCCAGCGUCGUCCAGGUUUGACCGGUAUAGGCCGUCAUUGUAAAUAAGAAUGAGUUAUUAACUGACUUGCCUAGUUAAAUAAAGGUUAAAUAAAAUAAACAGCAGGUCUCCCAUGAACAAAUGAUGUUGACCUCAAUGGGACAACCAGGUAAUUAAAGCUACAAUGUUCUGUGCAUUUUCACUAGAUAGAAGUGUGUCUUUCAGUGGAAGAUUUUCAAAAGAAAAUAGAUAAUGACAGUCUCUGCAAUUUUCAGUCAGAUGAGACACCUGGUCUCAUUCAUUUACAGAUUGAGAAUGAUUUCCAUAUCUGUUAUUGCUAACGGUGUAACUAUGUGUUGCUUUUAAUAAACACACAGCAAACCAAAAGCUGCCAACAUUGCAGUGGGUGCCGGAUAGACAAUGGUGGUAAAUAUCUCAGUCAAAUUGAAUUGAAUUCAUUAAUGCGGCCACUUAAUUUACUGUAUGGUUAUUGUUCUAAGUUAUGCAUACUUAAUGUGAAUGUUCCUUUACCCUAGGUCCUUCAUUCUCGAAUGUGAAGCCGACGGACCCUAGCAGGAAGGACCAGAGAAAAGUGUUUGCUUAAGGAGAGGAACGACAUGCAUGACCUUCUGGUUCUCCUCUCCACUGAGACCGAUCUGACCACAGCAGCGCAGGCCCAGCUCCAACAGACCGAUCUGACCACAGCAGCGCAGGCCCAGCUCCAACAGACCGAUCUGACCACAGCAGCGCUGGCCCAGCUCCAACAGACCGAUCUGACCACAGCAGCGCAGGCCCAGCUCCAACAGACCGAUCUGACCACAGCAGCGCAGGCCCAGCUCUAACAGACCGAUCUGACCACAGCAGCGCUGGCCCAGCUCCAACAGACCGAUCUGACCACAGCAGCGCAGGCCCAGCUCCAACAGACCGAUCUGACCACAGCAGCGCAGGCCCAGCUCUAACAGUGGUCUUCCCAACAGGCUGUCCUGUUCUGCUCCCCUUUGGCAACAGCUACUGCCACAACAAAAGAUGAUUGCUCUGAAGAGUACCUGCUGGAUACAGAUCUGCCAAGCACACCUCUGCCAGCCACACCACCACUGCCCUUCACAGCUUCUCCACUGGGCCCAUCAAGAGAUGAGGUCGCGUCUUCAUCUUGUACCACGGCCGAUGGACAGAGCCCAUUAGAGCUGCCAGUGAUAGGCUACUGGCCAAUCACCACGGGGAAGAAGAUAUCCUGAAGUGGGUGAAUCUGCUCUGCUCUUAACACCACCCCAGAGAAGCUCCUGGCGACACACAGCUGUGGCAUUAUGUUACUGUAGAGAGUGAAACAGUCAGUGUCCCAGUCAUGUCCUCAGUCAUGUCCCCUGCCACCUGUACUUACCCAGCAGAAGGCCUCACCUACUCAACGUUUCCAUUUGAGGAUUUAGCUUCCGCUGCCUUCUUUCAAUGGGAACUGGAGGCCUCGUAGCAGAGGGGGCAGUGAGGAAGGAGCGAACAGAGGAAAGAGAUGAGCAUCCCUCCGGCCGUCUGUACAGGUUUCUGCCAGCAGCCACUGAAACAAAUAUCCAACAGCCCAUAUCAGCUUUUCUUGAGUGGUAGGAAAAUAUCUACUGCCUAGUGUUUCCCCUGUACAUUGUACAGGGCAUUGGAGGGAGCUCCAACAGUCUGCCUUUUAUGAGGCUGAAAAGAAGAGAUGGAUGGUGGAGAAGGGUAGUGACUCUAUACACAGCUACACACAGAAAUAAAUAGGAGCUGCAAAUCUAUUGUCAUGGAAAUUACCACCAGGGACUCAAAGUCAAACUUAAAUGAAUCAUUCUUUAUUUUCAGUUAACUGGUUCCAACAAACUUAAUGCACCAUAGUACACGUCGGUCAGGAGCUCUGUCCCUCAAUUGUUUGUGGAUGAUGUGUCUUCUUUUGGGCAGCUCACAGUAAGGGUCUGGGUGGGUCCUCGUUGUUUUUUGGUCCUUCAUGCUUCAUGAAAUGUGCCACCGGUUUUUCUCACUGGAAAGCUCCGCAGGCAGAAUCAAUCAUCUGGUUCUUGAUGCUAAAUUGUCAUGAAAAUUACCACCAGGGACUCAAAGUCAAACUUAAAACUAAUCAUUAUUUAUUGUCAGUUAACUGGAGAAGUUCCAACAAACUUAAUGCACCAUAGUACACGUCGGUCGGGAGCUCUCCGGGGCAGUCCCGUUAGUUCUCUUAUAUACUGCUUACACAGACGAGUUAUAUUAGCAUGAUUUACAUUGUACAUUAUUCCUGAUGAAUUCAUUUGGUUAUUGCUUAAACUAUCAAAGGAGGUUCUAUUAAAUAUGUCAUUAUAAGUAAGCGAAAUGAACACAUAAAACCAGACACUUCAUCCUUUCAAACCCUUCAUUCUGUGUUGUCCAAUCCAACUUGUAAAACCAGUAGAAUGAACACAUAAAACCAGACACUUCAUCCUUUCAAACCCUUCAUUCUGUGUUGUCCAAUCCAACUUGUAAAACCAGUAGAAUGAACACAUAAAACCAGACACUUCAUCCUUUCAAACCCUUCAUUCUGUGUUGUCCAAUCCAACUUGUAAAACCAGUAGAAUGAACACAUAAAACCAGACACUUCAUCCUUUCAAACCCUUCAUUCUGUGUUGUCCAAUCCAACUUGUAAAACCAGUAGAAUGAACACAUAAAACCAGACACUUCAUCCUUUCAAACCCUUCAUUCUGUGUUGUCCAAUCCAACUUGUAAAACCAGUAGAAUGUUUUAUGCUUCACUACAGGCCACUAUUUCCAUUGAUGGAAGUGGUUUGGACUCUUGUUUGAUUUGUAUCUAUUUCACUGUUCAUUAUUUGACAUUUAAUCAGUACGGCCAGAGGAGGUGUGGUAUAUGGCCAAUAUACCACGGUUAAGGGCUGUUCUUAUGCAAGACACAACGCAGAGUGCCUGGACACAGCCUUAGCUGUGGUAUAAUGUCCAUAUAUCACACACCCCAGAGGUGCCUUAUUGCUAUUAUAAACUAGUUACCAAUGUAAUUAGAGCAGUAAUGCUACAUGUGCUUUCAGCCAAUCAGAAUUCAGGACUCAAACCACCCAGUUUAUAAUACUGAACAUAUAUUGCUGUAUAUUUUGUUGUACAAAGGAUUGUGCUCCAACACUAUCAUAAAUACAGUAUGUCUGUGAUUUCAUUAAAGUAAACCUCAAAGUAAAGUAAUAUUCUCUGAGUUGCUUCAAUGUUGUCUUUAUGAAUAAGAUACAUGCAUGUCCAUUGUUCUCCAACACUAUCAUAAAUAUGCCUAGUUAAACCUUAACUUAUACCAAUCUUCUCUUAGUUUUUCAUGUUGUCUUUAUAUGCAUAAAAAUGGAAAUGCAAUGUCCUCCAAAUGCAAAAUGUCCUCCAGCCAUUUCGGAAGUUUUACCUUUGAAAAGCAAUAUCCCAACUAUACAUAUAGUCAAGUACACACACAUUUUUUACAAAAGUGAUUUUUUUUUACACAACUUUUUAGGCAUUGAAGGGGCUGUUCUGAUGGGAAUCCGUGAUGUCAUAGCCUCCUUGAUUGAGGAACAAUAGAGGAGCAAAAGAGGAAUGCAUUUACAUUCAUAUAUCAAACUGUUUAUGCUAAACAGACCUAAAACCACUAUCCAGCUUUGUUGUAUGAAAAAAUGAACAAAUAGGUGUUGCUCAUAAAGCGUGUAACUGCCGAGGUGGAAUACAGUGUAACUGCCGAGGUAGAAUACAGUGUAACUGCCGAGGUAGAAUACAGUGUAACUGCCGAGGUAGAAUACAGUGUAACUGCCGAGGUGGAAUACAGUGUAACUGCCGAGGUAGAAUACAGUGUAACUGCCGAGGUAGAAUACAGUGUAACUGCCAAGGUAGAAUACAGUGUGACUGGCGAGGUAGAAUACAGUGUAACUGCCAAGGUAGAAUACAGUGUAACUGCCGAGGUGGAAUACAGUGUAACUGCCGAGGUAGAAUACAGUGUAACUGCCGAGGUAGAAUAUUGAAAGUAGAACAAUCCACUUUAUGUGUUCAUCUUCAGAUUUAGUUUUUAUUGACCUACUUUGCGUCUCUAUGGAUGUUACUGCUCUGAAGAGGCACUCAGUUAAUCACAAUGUGUCCCAUCCUCUCCUGUAAAACGAUUUGCUCUGAGGUAAUAAACAUUAUUAAAGACAAAAAAAAUCUAUAAACUGAUAAAAUUUUAC